AUUGGGGUAGAAAAAAUGUUCUUCGCAAUUCUAUCGGAUGCGCACCGGUUGACAUCAAACAUGAAAAAGAUGCAUAUAAUUUAGUUAUAAUGUAAAUAUGUGUAUUCUCCUGCAAGCAAGAGUUUACCCUUAUCGUUGAAAUAUUUGACACCAUUGCAAUAAACCGCAAGGGACAGAAUCCAUUGAAUAUUGAGGAGCAAGCAAGGUAGGCGACAGAAUUUGAGGUUAUUAACGUUCACAGGCAUAUUCUAUCAAUGAAAUCUUGCACCAAUUAGUCACCGAGUUAUCCUGCGUGAAGGUGUUCUGUUUUGACCAAAAUAUGUUAUCUUUACUGCGAAGGCUAUAAACUGAAGAAAUUACACACAUAUGUUAUUUAACCAUGCUGGAAAAGUAGUCUGAUCGGUGACCAGAGUAUGGUUGUUCUACAGCUGACAGACUGUUUAUAAUAAGCCUUAGCAAUGAGGAGAAAAUGUUCAAGUCAUUUCUUUUUAAUCAUACCCUAUUGAUGUGCCUAUUAAUCUCAAAGAAUACAAUAGGAUGGAGACAAUAUGUGGUAAAGGAGGGACAUUGGAUGGUGACAUGCUGAUGGUCAUCGUUAAACAAGAGGAAGAAGACCAUAUGGAGCAGAUGUCCAAUGGUCCACUGUCAUCUGACACGCUCAUCAAACAGGAGCAAGAAGAGGGCCUAUAGAACAAGGCACUACAGCUCCAGAUGACCAACUCCCUGAGGAAACAGACACCCUGGAAGAAGCAGAGAAGGAAGGGAAAGACAGGAGAGGUGCUGGUCUGCUGUUAAGACUGAGGAUGUCUGGGUCAGACUCCAGUUGGUGCUGCAGACUGUGUCAGUGCUGCUUCAGUUCCUCCUGGCAGCUGACGGGACACUGUUGUACUGGCAUCGCGGGGGAGGACGGGGUCACCCACGGCCACAAGGUCAAACUGGAGUUCCAGUGCCCAGGUUGUGGCGACCGCUUCCUCCACGCCUUCAUCAUGCACAAGCGCAGUCACAUUGGCCAGUCCCAGUACGUCUGUGGACGGACGCUCAAGACCCUGUGCAUGCUGUCCUCCAAGUGCUCACACUCCCGCCGCCGCGGGACUGUGGCUGAACGACAGCAGUGCCAUGACUGCAGCCAGAGCUUCUGCAAGCUGACGGCACUCAGAAGCCACCGGGAGAGACAGCACGGAGAGGAGAGGAACUGGGAGGAUGAGGAGGACAGGGUGGUGAGAGAGGAAGAGCAGGGAAGCACUGCAGUAAUCUCUAUUGAUUCAACCUGAGUUUCAGCUCAGCCUCUCCAGUCUCCUCAGUGCCACCAGUGUUUCAUGACCUUUCAGGAUGCAGAGACAGAAGAGAGGCAUUUACGCUUCAAGCACCCAGUGGAGUAUGAGAGACAUCUCAGAGGUCACACAGUGUUUGCCUGCUGUGUCUGCGACCGAACAUUCCCCUCCUCCCGCCUGCUCUCAGCUCACCAACGCACCCACAGCAAGUGGAGUCUGCCCCCAACUGGACCAGAAGACUCUGUCCAAGAAUGCACAGAUGGAGGAGAGGCCGAGGGGUCAGCCAUAGUAGUACGGCACCCCUGGAGCAAAUAGGGGUCAACUGUCUUGCUCAAGGACACAUCGACAGAUCUUUCACCGUGUCGGCAUAUUAUUUCUGGUAUAGACAAUGAAAAAAAAACAGCUGGUCCAAUGAGCUGUGAGCACUGUCAUAUCACCUUCAAUGACCCUCGAACCUGGGAACGUCACAUGACGGCCAAGCAACCCCAUCCCUGUCGACACCUACUUCACCAGGGAUUGCCUACCUGACUUCUAGACCUGCCAGGGGUCAACUACGACCCUAUCGCUGCUCAUCCUGUGGAGAGAGAUUCAUACAGGAAAGCACGCUGACCAAACACGGCACCAAGGCACACGUCAGCUGAGAGAGGAUGAUUCUGGGAGCAUAGAUACCAAGAUGCAAUAUCUUUUCCAUGGCAAAAAUGAAAACAGGAAGCAGACCAGACUCUUUGGUCCUUUUAUUUUCCAAGCUAUAGCUUUAAAAAUAAAUACAUGUGAUUCUGGAUAAAAAACAUAAUGAUGUUUGUUUCCAACUUCAAGGCUGUUUCCCCAAAGAAGUUAAAUCGACUUCGUGUUUUGUUUCCUUGCCACGAUACUGGUAUCACCCCAGCCCUAACAACUUGAAAAGCACCGGUGUCAAAAUGGAGUAGUUUUCAAAAUAAAAGCCUGACCAUAUUUAUUAGAGAUUCACAUAAAAAAUGUUUUUCUCCUGUACCCUGAUUUAAGAUGAAAACAGACCAAACCAGCUUUUGAUCAUUUUGAUAGCAAUAAUGUCAGUACUACGACAUGUAAACUACAUGAACAAAAGUAUGUGAACACCUGCUCAUCGAACAUCUCAUCCAAAAUCAUGGAUAUUAAUAUGGAAUUGGUCCCCCCUUUACUGCUAUAACAGCCUCCACUCUUUUGGGAAGGCUUUCCAUUAGAUGUUGGAACAUUGCUGUGGGUACUUGCUUCCAUUCAGCCACGAGCAUUAGUGAGGUUGGGCGAUUCGACCUGGCUCGCAGUCUGAGUUCCAAUUCAUCCUAAAAGUGUUCAAUGGGGUUGAGGUCAAGGCUCUAUGCAGGCCUGUCAAGUUCUUCCACACCGAUCUCAACAAACCAUUUCUGUAUGGACCUCGCUUUGUGGACGGUGGCAUUGUAAUGCUGAAAAGGGCCUUCCCCGAACUGUUGCCACAAAGUCCGAAGCACUGAAUCGUCAAGAAUGUCAUUGUAUGUGGUAGCGGUAAGAUUUCCCUUCACUUGAACUAAUGGGCCUAGGACAAAACAUGAAUAACCAUUAUUCCUCAUCCACCAAACUUUACAGUUGGCACUAUGCAUUGGGGCAGGUAGUGUUUUCAUGGCAUCCGCCAAACCCAAGAUUCAUCCAUCGGACUGCCAGAUGGGGAAGCGUGAUUCAUCACUCCAGAGAAUGUUUUUCCACUGCUCCAAAUCCAAUGGUGGCGAGCUUUACACCUCUCAAGCUGACGCUUGGCAUUGUACAUGGUGAUCUUAGGCUUGUGUACGGCUGCUCGGCCAUGGAAACCCAUGCCAUGAAGCUCUCAAUGAACCGUUCUUGUGCUGACGUUGCUUCCAGAGGCAAUUUGGAACUCGGUAGUGAGUGUUGCAACUAGUUCUGUUACGGUGACUAUAUUACUGGCACACUGGCGGUCACGUGUCAUGAGGGCAGUCAAAUUCCACAUGACCAUUUAGUCACGGUAAUUAGGCUUCUCCAAGCUCUGAUGCUGCUGAUGGUCAUUAGUAGGCUGGCCACUCGAUUUCGUCUCUGCGUUAUAUUAACAUCGAACAUGUCACCAUUCCUAGGAGAGGGGUUGACCUUGAUAAUUUAUUGUUAAAACGAGAGGCUGCCUGGAUCUAUCCUAGGAUAGGAUAAGUAAUCCUUCUCACCCCCCCCCCUUAAGAUUUAGAUGCACUAUUGUAAAGUGACUAUUCUACUGGAUGUCAUAAGGUGAAUGCACCAAUUUGUAAGUCGCUCUGGAUAAGAGCGUCUGCUAAAUGACUUAAAUGUAAUCUUUACCUUAAAGACCCUUGCUCCCUUCGGUCUCAACGUAGACUUUGAUCUGAAGCCAUUCUUGUGAUUAUUGUGACUUUGCCAAUGAUAAUUGUUUGUAAGCUUGUGUAGUCAAAUUAAUUUAUGACCAUAUGCUGUUCUUUGUAUGCCAUUUUAAUAUUUGAGAAUUAACCAAUGAUAUUAGGCCACUCUUGGCCAUGAUUACAGACACGUGUGUCUUUUGACACUAUUUAAACGAGUCAUCCCGCAGUGUUUGUGAUUAAACCCUGAUGAAGACAGCUUGGCUGUCGAAGCAUUGGAUAUUACAUUUUUGCAUCUGAGUUCCUAGAGUGUGUGGCUCUCCUUUAUUUUCAGGUCAUUCAGUAACAUACCAAACUUGCUAACCGCCUGGCACUCUAUUGUCCUAUCACUCUGACAUAAAUGGAAUGAAAAAUCUAAUCAAACACUUAAUGAGAGCCCAAGAAAUCAUGUUGUGCAACAUUUCUAUAGGCUAUGCAAUUGAGAAAACAGAGUGAUGGCCUCUAUUAAAAAGAGGAGGAUCCCAUCAGCUUUCAAUAGGCUAGGCCUACUAUCUAUUUCUCAACUUUCCUAUUAU
This is a long non-coding RNA of Oncorhynchus keta (chum salmon), 4149 nucleotides long. RefSeq lists it as uncharacterized. The record is from RefSeq and is a predicted model, not a curated record. The transcript is spliced from 4 exons. NCBI's taxonomy places the organism in Eukaryota, Metazoa, Chordata, Actinopteri, Salmoniformes, Salmonidae.